This 1273-nucleotide unclassified non-coding RNA is filed under the name Neodiprion lecontei (redheaded pine sawfly). RNAcentral describes it as "uncharacterized LOC124294713, transcript variant X1". The record is from RNAcentral. Lineage: Eukaryota; Metazoa; Arthropoda; Insecta; Hymenoptera; Diprionidae.
GUAUACAACGCUGAAGCGUUCUGCAAAUGAUAACUUGCAGAGGUUAUGUCAGCAUACGAAAUUUCCCGUGAAAGAUGUGUUGCGCCUUCAGCAGUGGUUAAAAGAAAUGAAGAGGAAGGACUGGAAGCCAAACCGAAAUAGCACAUUGUGUUCGGCUCAUUUUACAAAUGACUGCUUUGAUAGGACAGGAUUCCUAAUUACAUUGAAAAAGAACAGUGUACCAACUAUAUUUGACAACCCAAAAUCAGAGUGUUCAUCUUGUCACCGAUUAAGGGAAUAUGGACGUGGCUAUUCAUUCUUCAAGUUCCCAUUGGAUGAACCUGAUAUUAUGGAGCAGUGGAUCGCAAAUAUAAACAUUGGUCCGUGGUCUCCAUCAAGUGAUAGCUUUCUGUGUUCCGACCACUUUGAACUCUCUUGCUUUCAGAAGAAAAGUAAAAAUUAUAUAACUUUACGAAAAGGCAGUAUCCCAAUGUUAUUUGGUAAGAUCUGAAACUAUUAAUCCCUUUUAGGUCAGAGAAAACUCAGUGUGCAUAAAGACACGUUGAUGUGAUGCACUAUUGCGUCAAUGUCGUCGAAGCGGUUAAUUACCUACAGAUUAUAAAGUGCUCUGUUACAGAAAAAUCGUGUGUGACACAUUUCUGUGUAUUUCCAUUGUCGUUAUUUAUUAGUAACUUAUCUGUAGGUGAAAACUUGCAGCAGACCGAAUUUCAGGAUGAAUCCGAUCGGCCCACCACAGUGAAUGUAACCAAAUUACAUGAGCACCUACACAUUUGUACCUGAUUUGCAUGCUCAGAUAUGUACAUCUUUUUUAUUUUCUUUUGAUUGUGCUUGUAACUUUUUCUUCAUGUGAAUGGAUUGUGGAUUGAUACUACUAAUUAUAUUGUUGUGGUUUAUCGCACGCAACUCUAUAAAAAUUCCUUAACGUUUGCAAGGAAUGUUUUAUUCUCCAUAUUUUUGAAUAAAGUUUUUACUCACCCAAUUCGAUAUAGUUUAAUUCAAAACUUUUUUUACAUGUCUUAAGCUCCACUUUGAUGAUCAAUGGAUGGUAAAUGGAUUCCCUAACGGUUGAAUUAGUGUUAUACAAAUUUUUGAAUAAUCCGUAUGAAAUUCAGCCCACCAUAGGAUAAAGGAUAAUGGACGGAAACUUCUUAGAAUUGAGGACUUCUUUUGAACAUAAAGAAAAAUCACGCUUAAAUACAAGUUUUUCGUCAUAUUAUUUAAUGAUCUUUUACAUCAUAUAAUUGUAAAUAAUAAUAUACCUUCGAAAAAAUGA